Molecule: ribosomal RNA, 440 nt
Filed under: uncultured bacterium
Lineage: Bacteria
Description: partial 16S ribosomal RNA
Rfam family: Bacterial small subunit ribosomal RNA
Source: RNAcentral
CCUACGGGAGGCAGCAGUAGGGAAUAUUGCUCAAUGGGGGAAACCCUGAAGCAGCAACGCCGCGUGGAGGAUGAAGGUUUUCGGAUUGUAAACUCCUUUUGUUAGAGAAGAUAAUGACGGUAUCUAACGAAUAAGCACCGGCUAACUCCGUGCCAGCAGCCGCGGGAAUACGGAGGGUGCAAGCGUUACUCGGAAUCACUGGGCGUAAAGAGCGCGUAGGCGGGAUAGCAAGUCAGAUGUGAAAUCCUAUGGCUUAACCAUAGAACUGCAUUUGAAACUGUUAUUCUAGAGUAUGGGAGAGGUAGGUGGAAUUCUUGGUCUAGGGGUAAAAUCCGUAGAGAUCAAGAGGAAUACUCAUUGCGAAGGCGACCUGCUAGAACAUAACUGACGCUGAUGCGCGAAAGCGUGGGGAGCAAACAGGAUUAGAUACCCCGGUAGUC